This 435-nucleotide ribosomal RNA is filed under the name uncultured bacterium. RNAcentral describes it as "bacterial SSU rRNA". It matches the Rfam family "Bacterial small subunit ribosomal RNA", at positions 355 to 796 of the family's 1533-position model. The record is from RNAcentral.
UCGAGGAUCUUCGGCAAUGGGCGCAAGCCUGACCGAGCGACGCCGCGUGUGCGAUGAAGGCCUUCGGGUUGUAAAGCACUGUCGAGGGGGAGGAAAGCCCGCAAGGGUCUGACCUAUCCCUGGAGGAAGCACGGGCUAAGUUCGUGCCAGCAGCCGCGGUAAGACGAACCGUGCAAACGUUGUUCGGAAUCACUGGGCUUAAAGGGCGCGUAGGCGGGUGGUCAAGUCAGGGGUGAAAUCCUCCAGCUCAACUGGAGAACAGCUUUUGAUACUGGCCAUCUUGAGGGGGGUAGGGGCAUGUGGAACUUCCGGUGGAGCGGUGAAAUGCGUAGAUAUCGGAAGGAACGCCGGUGGCGAAAGCGACGUGCUGGACCCUUUCUGACGCUGAGGCGCGAAAGCCAGGGGAGCAAACGGGAUUAGAUACCCCCGUAGUCC